This 387-nucleotide unclassified non-coding RNA is filed under the name soil metagenome. RNAcentral describes it as "partial contains 5.8S ribosomal RNA, internal transcribed spacer 2, and large subunit ribosomal RNA". The stretch from base 1 to 120 matches the Rfam family "5.8S ribosomal RNA", at positions 35 to 154 of the family's 154-position model. The record is from RNAcentral.
GAUGAAGAACGUAGCGAAAUGCGAUAAGUAAUGUGAAUUGCAGAAUUCAGUGAAUCAUCGAAUCUUUGAACGCACCUUGCGCUCCUUGGUAUUCCGAGGAGCAUGCCUGUUUGAGUGUCAUGAAAUUCUCAACCUUUUCAGCUUUCUUUGUUGAUCAGGCUUGGAUGUGGGAGUAUGCGGGCUUCUCAGAAGUCGGCUCUCCUGAAAUGCAUUAGCGGGACCUUUGUUGCCUGGCUUUGGUGUGAUAAUUAUCUACGCCAUUGUAGUCAAGCAGCUUAAAAUGAGGUUUCAGCUUCUAACCGUCUCCCCUGAGACAACUUUUUGACAAUUUGACCUCAAAUCAGGUAGGACUACCCGCUGAACUUAAGCAUAUCAAUAAGCGGAAGA